CAGGGGGUAGUUUAUAUAAAAUAUUGGUUUUGGGGAUCAAUGAAGAAAGAUUUUUUCCUCUGA
Molecule: transfer RNA, 63 nt
Filed under: Physemacris variolosa
Lineage: Eukaryota; Metazoa; Arthropoda; Insecta; Orthoptera; Pneumoridae
Description: tRNA-Pro
Source: RNAcentral